AUUGAACGCUGGCGGCAUGCUUUACACAUGCAAGUCGAACGGUAACAGGCCUUCGGGUGCUGACGAGUGGCGAACGGGUGAGUAAUGCAUCGGAACGUACCCAGAGGUGGGGGAUAACGCAGCGAAAGCUGUGCUAAUACCGCAUGUGAUCUGAGGAUGAAAGCGGGGGACCGCGCAGCAAUGUUUGGCCUCGCGCCUUUGGAGCGGCCGAUGUCGGAUUAGCUAGUUGGUGGGGUAAAGGCCUACCAAGGCGACGAUCCGUAGCUGGUCUGAGAGGACGACCAGCCACACUGGGACUGAGACACGGCCCAGACUCCUACGGGAGGCAGCAGUGGGGAAUAUUGGACAAUGGGCGCAAGCCUGAUCCAGCAAUGCCGCGUGCGGGAAGAAGGCCUUCGGGUUGUAAACCGCUUUUGGCAGGAACGAAACGGUGUCCGCUAAUACCGGGCGCUAAUGACGGUACCUGCAGAAUAAGCACCGGCUAACUACGUG
Molecule: ribosomal RNA, 492 nt
Filed under: uncultured bacterium
Lineage: Bacteria
Description: partial 16S ribosomal RNA
Rfam family: Bacterial small subunit ribosomal RNA
Source: RNAcentral